Small nuclear RNA from Panicum virgatum (switchgrass), 100 nucleotides. The record is from RefSeq and is a predicted model, not a curated record. NCBI's taxonomy places the organism in Eukaryota, Viridiplantae, Streptophyta, Magnoliopsida, Poales, Poaceae.
GUCUUUUCGGAAACAUCCGAUAAAAUUAGAAUGAUGUAGAGAAGAGUAUGGUUUUUGCGCAAGAAUGACACGCACAAAUUGAGAAACGGUCCAAUUUUUU